CCAGGGACUACACAGUUUCUAUGUACCAAGAUGCAUGAUACAAAUUUACUGGUGAGGUUGAAAUAUCCCUCCAACCGGCUUGGCUCUUCCUCAAGGCAAGCUUUACAGGUCAUAAUCCAAAGAUAGGAUGCAGAGGACUGGAAGAAACUAAUGCAGGACAUAUAUCUAAGGGUUAGAUUCUAUUGCAAGUGGUUUUGGAGAAUUAGACCUCGGACCGAGUAUGUUAUAUUGCAUAAGUUUAUUAAUCUUAUGAUCAAUGAAGUUAUUCCAGAGAGAUUGUAACCGAAAAAAAAAAGUUAUUCCAGAAGGAUGCUAAUGAAAAUCACUCACAGGUAAUCACUAAUACCUUUUCUAAAAUGUAAUAAAUGAAAUUAAAAAAACCGCAACAAAUAAAAACUCACAAGGACUUGCUUAAAAAGUUCUCCUCGCAACAGUUUGUCCAUAUGAAAUUCAAAUUUCAGAUCGAGAUCUUUCAAUGUGGUAUUCUCAUCAAUUUUAUCUUUGUCUGUACAUCUUCCAAUAGUUGAACCCUUCAAAUCAUAACGGCGAUGAAUUCGUAAUUCAGUGCAAAACAUAUUCCCCAUGACCAUAAACCGUUCCUAAAAACAAUGCAUUUAGAAUAAGUCACACCAACCGAGGCGACAUCCAAUGAAGAACUGCAAUCUGGUAGAGUGAUAAGUUGCUCAAUACCUUUUUUCCACCUUUUAACGUUAUCCAAUGGAGCCCAAAUUUUUUUGUGAUGAGAGUGUUUUCAUGUUCGUCUACAUGGCUAUAAUAUCUAGGCAGCAUCUUCAGCAUAACCUGCAUAUGAAUUGGGAAAAAGAAAAUGAUUCAUAAUUCCUUAACAUCCUUCCCAAACUUGGAUGAGAUAAGUUAGUUGCCGAAGAUAAAGCUAAAAAUAAAAUUGAGAAAAGCAAAAUCUAAGUCCUCAUAUGGAGCUGAUUGAUCAUUCUGUUCGAGUAAGAAGCAAAAGGAAUAUAAAGGGUCAUUCAACGGCUUGGCACGACAGGAAUUUUGAGUACAAAGAAGUUAUCGUGUGUGUGUAUGUAGCGUAGAAGUUUGCAUGAGUUCAAUCAAACCUUCAGUUCAGUUUUUCUUAAAGUCUUGAUGAAAAAUCUAUCAUCAUGAGAAAUAUAGAAAAUACUGCCACUUUUCCCCGGUGAAGAAAUCUCUCGUAAACCAUUGUCACCACAAACGGACAUCAUGUACUCUGCAUCUAAUUUAAACAUCUCCCUUAAAUUCCUGAAACGCGAAAGUUUCAUCAGGCAGAAAGAGAUCCAAUUGCUUAUUUGGGCAGAUACAGCAGAAACAUAAACUUGCGACCAUACAAUGUCCAUAUGGUUAAGACAUGUAUGAUUCCAAUUAAACUUGAACACAUUUGAAUAUGACUCCAAUUAAACAAGAAAUUAGGUCAAAACAUAAAUGAAUCAGAUUUACAGAUUUAACAGAAACAUAGUCAUUUUUAAAGUUCUAUAUUUGCAGAUUCUCCACAAAUAUCACAAUUACGGAGGCCAACCAUGUAAAUUGCAUGCACGACAAGCACAUUACCAAAAGGAAAUAAGUCAAUUAGGCCUUCUAGUGAUAGAGCUAUUAUCUGCUAGUCUAUUUUUAGUGCUUCCAAAUGCUUGAGCUUAGCUAUUAGGACAUGGACCAAUAAUAGUUUAAUUUCAAAGAAGUAACCCGCAUGUGGGAACCCAAACUCCCCCUCCAUAGGUAACAUCUUCAAUUGUUCGUUACUAUUAUUCCCAAAUGCUUAACCUAUUAGAGCUUGAACCAAGUAAAAGAGUCCAUGAAUUUCCAUAUUGUGUACCAAGUUGGUAAAAAUUGAGCUCAAAAGAAGUUGAUUCCUCCACUCUCAAUAUGGUUUAUCGUCUGCAAAUGCAAUAAAAGAAUCAUAAACUUAGCAACACCGCCAAUUUUUGCAUAGCAAAAGAAGCAGAUAUACGUUCUAAGCAAAAAAAUUUCGCCCCUCAUAACUCACCAAAAAGCAAACAAAAUUUCAAACAAAAUGGCUAGCACAAUCUAAAAUAGGAGCAAAAAAAAACACUAAAAAAAAGCUAAAUUUAUUACAAGAAAAUAACUCACCAUAGUGCUUCCGUAGUACUUCUGGCACCACACAGUAAGGGCUCCCAACAACAUCAGUGAAUGUUUCUCCUGGGAAGAAUACGAGUUUUUGUUAUAAUGAUAUUGAAAUGUGAAAAAAAAAAAAAACGCGAAAUCACUUUCUUGUAGCGAAAAAUUACGAAUCAACGACAUAAUGAACAAAUAAAUUAAAGUAACUGAACCAUUAAGAAAUUAACAACACAGACGUCUACAUUUAUCAGUAUCCCAUCAAUAUAUGCACCAAAUUUUAGCGAAUGCCGGUGAUGUUUUACAUUUAUUGUUCUUACCGGUGAUUACUGGAUUACGUAAAUGGUGCAGUGAAGACAUCAGUGAAUUAUGCAAAUGGUGCAGUGAAGACAUUCACAAACUGAAAACAACAAAUGGUGAAGUGAAGACGGUGAAUCAACGCAGUCACAGAUUAACAAAUUGAAAACAACAAAUAAAACCACAGAAAAAGAAAACAGCCAACUCACCUUGGAACAAAGAACAUACGGACAGAAGAAGACUCAAAAUGAGAGAAAUGAAACAAAUAAAUAGACCUUCGAAAUCUCCUAAUUCAUUUAAAAAACAAACCAAAGAAUAAUGUUAUAUGGGUGAUAUCAAACACAAGCAAACGUAUACCAGAAAAUUACUCCAGGCUUUGCCUGAUAUCAAACAAAAGCAAACUACUGUGAACUUUUAACUUCAAAACCAAUCAUCAAUGAUAGAUACUAAUAUCUCAACUUUCGAAAAAAAUUACUUACUUUGCCAAACCCAAACCUGCCUCACAUUCGAAAGAAAUGCACAUUUUAAAUUAUCAAUCAUGAUUCAGUGCAUGAGUUUGUUCUCAUAUUUUCCCCUUUAAUCUAACAACAUAUAUGAAAUUGAAGAGAGAGGAUGAGAAAUUUUUACCUCUGGGCGUGUCGACUCCAAGAUUGGAGGUUUGGCCUUUGGAUCCGCUCGUGUGGAGCCUGAAUCUCGCGAGAUCUGGGUUCAGGUUUUCUGAGACGGUGGUGUAGGCAACGGUCUUGGGGCUCUCAUCUCUGAUUUCUGAGCAUGGAUUUGCUCACAUGGGGAUGAUGACGCCAAAACGAACCUCAAAGCUGUCACAGUCGCAGUCAUAGAUUGCAAAACCACGCCUCUUCUUUACUUGGUCUUCUUAAUCCUCUCCUUAAUUUCACUGCAAAAUUCACACACAGAUAUAAAUGACCAACCAGGGUCCUUGUGGAACAAAACCCGAAACUGAAUUUCUCAUCCUAAUCAAUUGAUUCAAUUUUUAACAAAUACACAUAAAUAUUAAAGAGCAACAUGCCAUGUUGAACAAAACAAAUGAUUGAUCAACUUAAAGAGUGUCUGGGAAUGCUUCGGUAAGGCUAAAAGUGUUUCUAGAUACCAAAAUUUGAGCAGAAAUAGCUAAAAGUGCUAUUGAAUAGAAUUAAAUUGCAGUAUCAAUAGACUUCAAUAUUAACCGCUUACCCUCAAAAGACACGACAACAAUGAAUAGAAUUAAAUUGUAAGUGAACUAAUAUUUUGUACAACAAAUAUAUACGGGAUAUACAUUGCACAGAUAUACAUGUUGCAUAAAGUCUCACAUGUUUCUGAAAUGAAAACGCUACAAAACGAAGAUAUACGGCCAAUUAAUUCUUCAACCGCUAAUGGAUCACGGGAUAUUCUUAGCUGCCUUUGUAGUUCUUGUUUGUCAAAUUCGAACACAACUCAGGAAAAAUAAAUAUAAACACAAAGAGAGAAGAAGAUAUAAGACAAUUACCUCUCUUUUGGCAGGAAGCUCAUCCCAAACAUAAAUUCUGAUAUCUUCCUAAGCCUGUAUUAUGCAGGUCGUGUACUCAGUGAAUAUGCUUUCGAAAAAAGAUCAACAAGCGUGCAUUAUUUCCUAAAUUCCUAUGAAUUUGACAUGCUAAUUUACUGAAAGGAUUUGGCAAAAAAGACUAUGGGAUUAUAGAGACCUCAAAAAUGAAUGAUGCACAUACAGAUCUAAAUAUGGGUAAAAUACCAGCUGAAUUUAAUAAGAAAGAAUUCAGACCACAACACUAUAGUUGAUGAUUAAAUCAACAGCGUAAUGUUUUGUUGAGAUUCUGUUUCAGCAUGCACUAGGAAUAAUCUCAAUGGCCUUUCCUCUUCUACAGGUCAUGAAGAUUUCGGAAUCCGGAUAUUGGGUUCAUUUGGUUUCUGCAAAAUAUGAAUUCACAAGCUCAAAAUCACAAAAAUUUCCCUAAAAUUCUUCAAAUUAUUAUUUUAUUUUAUUUUAUUCGAAAAAUAGAGAACUAACAGACCAUCUUCUUCCUUGAUGAAACACUUGAGAAAGAAAGCGAAGCAGCUUUGAAUCUCAGCUGCUGAAUACUCUGAUCUUCCUCCCCAACUCCUCCAUAACUCCCAGAAGAGAAAUUUUCAUGCGACCCCUUUCCAGCAGCUGCAAAAAAGAUAUCAAAUUUAAAAACGAAUUCCAAAAACAAAGCAAGAGAGUGCAUUUGGACGUUGGUUUGGGUGCAGACAGAGGCGGUGGAGGGACGGUGGGUCGGUGGACCGGUGGUGUAGGGGGUGAAGAUAGCGAUGGAUGGUGAUGGGUUUGGGUGGGCUGCCCAUUUGAGGGUUUGGGUUAGUUUGGUUGGGUUGCUGCCGGCUAAAGCUAGAGACUUGAGAGGGGAGGUGGGUGUAUUGAGAAAUAGGACAGAUCAGAUUGGGGAAAUUAGGGUUUUGCUGGAGAAGAAGAGGGAGGGAAGAGAGAGACCCGCGUAAAUUGGGUUGAGAAGGGAAGCUGCCAUUUCGUGAGGAAUGAGAGAUACAAUCCCCCAAAUCAUGCACCCACUCUCUGCGACCAAACCCCCCUCUCCUCUCUCCCCAAAAUCCCAAAAUCACGCCCCCAUAUAACUGCAUCCAACCCCCUCUCCUCUCUCCCCCAAAUCACGAGAUCAGAUCUUCUGCACCCAACCCCCUCUCCUCUCUCCCCCAAAAUCACGCCCCCACCCUUAGACCCCAAAAACAACAGCCCAACCGGCUGUUUUGGGGACAGACAAUGGCAGAAACGUAAUUAAAUCAAAAUCGAGUUUAUUGAGUUGAUUGUAGAUGAUAUUUUUAAGAAAUUGCUCAACAUCUCAUCAAGUGAAAAGAAUGGCUUGGUUGGAAUAGAUUCCUGCUUACAGAAAAUGGAUUCACUGUUAUGUCGCGGGGUGAAUGAUGUUCGCUUUGUUGAAAAUGCAAACUCAGUUUCACUUGGCUAGAAAGACUUCAUUUACACAAAUUCAGAGGGCUCAUCCACUGUAAUUUGCAGAUUUAUAAAUGUUAAGAUAAAAGGAAAUGCAAACUACCUUUCACCCAAAUUUGCAAUGGGAAAUGACAUAGCAAUAUCUUCACAGUUUCUGCACAAGCACAAAUCAAAAUAUAAGAAUAGCUCACAUAAGCAAUUGAAACCCGCCAAACACGAACGAAAAGAUCGGCAACAAAUGUAUUCCACAUGUAGAGAUAUUCUGUUCGAAUUUUGAUUACCUAGAAAUUGGGGGGUUGGGGCGGAGAGGAACCCUAGCCAAGGCGGAGCUCUGUAGUGGAUGCCGAUGAUGUUUAGGAGAGUAAUAUACGUGUCAAAUUCAGCACGCCCCUUCCAAUAUCUACUUGAUAAUCCCACAAGCGUGCUAAAUCCUCAUAGUCGACGGGAAAUUGAGAAAGAUUUGUGCACCCACUGAGAUUGGCAGCUAAAGGGCGCGCCAAAUUACAGAAAGUGUCGGGAAGAUGCACAAGGCUUUCGCAGUUUCCCAGAUUUAAUAACACAAGCUGCUGAAGCCGUUCAAUCGAGGGGGGAAGCUCUUUGAUAGAUGUUCCAUCCAAAUGAAGCGCUCUUAAUUCUUCCAUAUUUUCUUCAAUGUUUGGAAACACCUCAAAUUUUGUACAACCAGAAAGAGAGAGAUAAUAUAGGGAUUGAAGUUGACAAAUGCUACUUGGGAGAGUCUUGAGUUCUUUGCAAUCUUUUAGGAUCAAAAUUCUCAAUCCCGUGAGACAAUUAAUUGACGAGGGCAAUUCUUUAAUUUUUGAUCCGGAUAAAUCAAGCCCUAUUAGUUGAUCCAUAACUUCUAAAAUCUCUGGAAACAUCGCAAGACUCGAGCAGCCAUAAAGAUUAAGGGCUGCGAGAGAUCUCAUAUGAAUGAAGCUUGGAAGACUCUUGAGUUCCUUGCAAUCUUUCAGGUCCAAAUAUCUCAACCCUGUGAGAUUAUUAAUUGAUGAGGGCAAUUCUUUAAUUUUUGACCCGAAUAAAUUAAGCUUUUGUAGUUCCUCCAUAACUUCUAAAAUCUCAGGAAACAUUUCAAGACUCGAGCAGCCAGAAAGAUCAAGGGUUACGAGAGAUUUCAUACGAAUGCUUGGAAGGCUCUUGAGUUCCUUGCAAUUUGUUAGUUUCAAAUAUCUCAACCCCGUGAGAUUAUUAAUAGAUGAGGGCAAUUCUUCAAUUUUUAACCCGGAUAAAUUAAGCUCUGGUAGUUCUUCCAUAACUUCUAAAAUCUCUGGAAACAUCUCAAGACUCGAGCAACCAGAAAGAUCAAGGAUUUUGAGAGAUUUCAUACGAAUGCUUGGAAGGUUCUUGAGUUCCUUGCAAUUUGUUAGUUUCAAAUAUCUCAACCCCGUGAGAUUAUUAAUUGAUGAGGGCAAUUCUUUAAUUUUUGACUCGGAUAAAUUAAGCUCUGGUAGUUCCUCCAUAACUUCUAAAAUCUCUGGAAACAUCUCAAGACUCGAGCAGCCAGAAAGAUCAAGGGUUAUGAGAGAUCUCAUAUGAAUGAUGCUUGGAAGACUCUUGAGUUCCUUGCAAUCUUUUAGGUUCAAAUAUCUCAAUCCUGUGAGAUUAUUAAUUGACGAGGGUAGUUCUUUAAUUUUUGACCCAGAUAUAUCAAGCGUUUGUAGUUCCUCCAUAACUUCUAAAAUCUCUGGAAACAUCUCAAGACUCGAGCAGCCAGAAAGAUCAAGGGUUAUGAGAGAUCUCAUAUGAAUGAUGCUUGGAAGACUCUUGAGUUCCUUGCAAUCUUUUAGGUUCAAAUAUCUCAAUCCCGUGAGAUUAUUAAUUGACGAGGGUACUUCUUUAAUUUUUGACCCAGAUAUAUCAAGCGUUUGUAGUUCCUCCAUAAUUUCUAAAAUCUCUGGAAACAUCUCAAGACUCGAGCAGCCAGAAAGAUCAAGGAUUUUGAGAGAUUUCAUACGAAUGCUGCUUGAAAGACUCUUUAAGUUUGCUGGACCCAUGCAGAUCCAAUAAAACAAGGUUUGUAAGACUUGAGCAGCCAGAAAGAUCAAGGGUUACGAGAGAUUUCAUACGAAUGCUUGAAAGGCUUUUGAGUUCCUUGCAAUUUGUUAGUUUCAAAUCUCUCAACCCCGUGAGAUUAUUAAUUGACGAGGGCAGUUCUUUAAUUUUUGACCCGAAUAAAUUAAGCACUAGUAGUUCCUCCAUAACUUCUAAAAUCUCUGGAAACAGUUCAAGACUCGAGCAGCCAGAAAGAUCAAGGAUUUUGAGAUAUUUCAUACGAAUGCUGUUGGCUAGAAUCAUAAGUUCGUUGCAGCCCCUCAGAUCCAAUAAAACAAGGUUUGUAAGAGUCGAAAUAGAUGGGUGAACCUCAACCAAACUUAUACAACCUACAAAAAUUAGCCUCUCAAGAUUUGGCACCUUUGUGAAGUCAGGGGUUUCCUUAAGGUAUUCACAAUAGCUUAAAUUGAUGAAUUUCAACUUCCCCAGCGUCUGUUAAAACAUUCAUGAAAACAUGCAUUACUUAAGAAGACAUCUCAAUCAGAACCCAAACAUUUAAAAGAAACAUAUACAUGUAAAUGGUGAUUGUAGGUACCUGCGUUCCUUCCCAAAGUCGUUCAAUGCGACUAUAUUGCAUGUCAAGGUCAACAAGAUUUUUGAAUUGAAAGUUGGAUGGCAAAGAUUUAAGGGGGGAUCCAUGCCAGUAGAGACACCUCAACUCACGAGAAAGAAACUUUAAGCGCCCAAUCAGGUGUUGUUUGUCGUAAGAAUGACUUAUCCUGAGAAGUCUUAGUUGAUUCAUACUAUCAAAAGCUUCAGCAUUUAGGCAUACCUCAUCUGAGAUCGACAAAUCCAGGAUUAUGCUUUCAACUGCUUCUGUACCCUGUGCAAAUCAAAGUGAAGGAAAAACAGAGAGGUUUAGAUUAUGAAGUUAAUGCUUGUUUCUUAAGGAACCAUUUUAUAAUCAUUUCGUUUUCAAUUUUUAACUUUUGUUUUAAUUAUUUUGUUAUAGAAAUCUGAAAAUUAAAAGCACAUAACUUGUUUGAUAAUCAUUCUCAAACAAAAAUUAUUUUAUAAAAUGUUUGUUUCUUCUCAAAAAAAAAAAAAAAAUCAUUCUCAAUUUUCAAUUAUUAAAAAAAAAAUCAAAACUAAAAAUUAAAAUUGUAAACAAAAAUAAUUACCAAACCGGCCUAAGAAAUAAAUUUUGGUCAAAAGUUGAAGCUUUCUACUAAACAUUGCAUAAGAAAAUGAUUUCUCACCGUAUUUUGAGUUAGCACAUGAUGAACAUCUCCAUAACUCCACAACCUGCUUCGUCUCCCUGGCUCUUUGAUAGAUUCUUGGCGAACUAUUUCCCGACCCAUUUCCUGUAGUGAAUCAUGCAUCUCCAGUUCCCCCCUCCAUGAGACAGUUAUGAGAGCUCGAUCAAUUAGAACUCUUAUACCACUAUGAGGAUAGAAACCACAACCAUCCAUAAUUUCAAUUGCAUAGUUUUUUUGCAUUCCUUUAAAGAAACAUGCAAUAUCUAGAAAGAUGUCCUUCUCUGUGUCAUCUAGUCCAUCGUAGCUUGUUUUAAGCACAUCAUGAAUUUCCCUUUGUGGGAUUUUCCUUAUUUUUUCUAACACAUCUUUCCACUCGCGUAUAGUUUUGUUAUCAAGAAAAGCUCCCAAAACUUUGAGUGCUAAAGGCAGACCCUGAGCAUAUUGUAUGACACGCCUCGAAAGAUUAUCAUAAUCUUUGGUGGAUUGCUUUGUUCUGAAGGCGUACCGCCUAAAGAGUUCUAGAGCUCCAGCAUCAUUGAAAACCUUGGGGCUAUAUAUUGCAUUAGCUCCGCUUAGUAAUUGCACAUCUCUAGUUGUUAUAAUGAUUCUACUUCCCCCACCAAAAGAAUGUUCCUUUCCGAGUAAGGCUUCAAUUUGAGCUAAUUUGUCAACAUCAUCAACAACAAGAAGAAGUUUUUUGUGACCAAGGUUUUUUAACAUCACCUGGAAACCAUUUUUCGAUAUGUCGGAACUCCCCACCUUGUUGCCCGAGAUACUAGAUAGAAGUUGUGUCUGCAUAUGUAGUUCGCCAUGCUUCAUGAAACCCUCCUUGACAUUUUCAAGAAAACAACAUGCUUCAAAUUGACAAGCGGUUUUGUUGUAAACAGCUCUAGCGAUGGUUGUUUUGCCUAAACCACCCAUACCCCAUAUUCCUACAAUGCGAACAUCAUCCAACUCCACCCCAGGAGGAUCAGGAUGUAAUCGUAAAUGCAUUUCAUGAAUAUGAGAAUCCAUUUCAACCAAGUCAUUAUCUUUGCAUGGUGUUGAUGAGAUGUGCCUCAAUUUUCUCAAAACAUCUUCCACAAUUUCCUCAAUAAGCUUUGCAUCCUCCCUGUCAAAUUCAAAAAAUAAAUAAAUAAAUAAAUAAACAACCAAUAAAGAACAACACCAAAUAACAAGUUUUCAUCUGCUAGUUUCCAAAAAAAAAAAUGAAAAAUGCAAACUAAAAACUUAAAACAAUAACCCCUAAACCCUACAAAAAUCUCAAAAUUAAUAGGAAACUAAAACAAAUUAGAAUUUACUCAUAGUUUCGCGAAUCCCAGCCAGAUAAACUGGUGGCAAUUGUAAGAGCGGAUCUCCAGCUCUGAACCUCUUCCAUUUCAGCGUUAGAAUCGUGAUCGUGCUGAGCAAAAGCUUCCGCGAAUCUUCCCUUGAGUUUACGAACAUCAGACGGAUCAACUUCGUAGAAAAUGGGGAGUACAAUCUGGUUCUUGGUAUCCUUGCAUUCCAAGAUUUCCACGAGUUCUUUCAAGCACCAAGUGGAAGAAGCAUAGUUUUGAGAGAAAACAACAAUCGAAAGCCUUGACUCUCGAAUCGCUGUCAGGAGCUCGGAAAGGCGGUCGCCCUUUCUGAGCUCUUGGGCAUCGAUGAAGGUGUUGAUUGGUUUCUGACGCAGAGCUCUGUAAAGAUGGCUGACGAAGCCCUUGCGAGUGUCUUCCCCUCUGAAAUUGAUGAACACAUCGUGUUUCCAUUGACGGCCAAAAGAAGAAGAAGCAGCCAUUGAUCGGGCAGCUAAGAUGAAGAGGAAUUUAAGAACAGAAAGACUCGAUUGACCUGCAAAUUGGAGGAAAAGGGAAAGAGGAAAGGAAUGCUUUAUGUUUUUCGCAUCUUCGAAGAAACAACGGUGUCGGUCAAAAAGAGAUGCUCAAAUUUCAUUUUGUUAUAAUAAGACCCAGGCCCAUGAGUAUUCACUAUCCGAUGAUAAUUCUCCCGUCUUAUCUUAAUAAUUUGCACAAUACAUAUAAAUUGUUACGCAUAAUAUCUAUUUAUAACAUCAUUUGUACCAUUUUUUUAAUAGAAGUAGUAUCCGUCAAUGCACGUAGAUCUCAUUUGUAUUAAAAAGAUGAUACAAAUGAUGGUAUAAGAGUUCAUUUGGGUUGCUGUGCUGUAAAAAAACAUUGUUUUUAGAAGUAGAGGUAGAGCUGCUUCUGCUAUUCUGGAUCCAUAAAUUUAACAAAAAACACUUUUAAAAUAAUUUCAACAACGUCAAACCAGCCCUAAAUAGAUGGUAAUAGCAUUUUUGUUUAAGAUGACUCUUUCAUACGCAUUUCUUUUGUCUAAUUUUUAAAAAUUACCUAUCAUAUUGUAGUAAAUUUAAAAUUUGGUACCAAAUUAUAAUUUUAUUGCAGAGAUCGUUUUUCUGGUUGUUCAAAGUUCGAAUGGGGGUGGUGAUGGAGAAAGAAGUGGAGAUGGAGAUAGAGGUGGUUGCUCGGAUGGCAGGGGAAUAACAAGAUGAACACUUUUUUUUAUCAAUAAUUUAUUUUUUCCAAAGUAAUAAUUAAUUAAUUUUUUUCCACGUGGUGCAAAAGUGUCAGCCUCAUCAGUACAAAUAUGAACCCAUAUUUGCAAAUCAUUAUUUAACAGUCAAUUUAACAAAAUUUCUAACGGAUGUAUGAUAUUGAAAUGAAAUGAUAAGUAAUGUAUGACACUGAAAUGUUUUCAAGAUGUUGUAAGCGGUUGCAAUUAACCUUAACCUUGAUGAGGUAAAACGCAAUUUACUCUGGAUUUUAUGUACUAGAUACUGCUAUUCAUACAUUGAAAUCUUAGAUUAUACAACUUUACAAACAAAUGAUCACGCAAGUGACUAUGAACACAAAAGAAGGUAAGAAAACGUUACGGCAGGUCCGGGAAAACUUCCUCCAAGAAAUUGAUGAAACGCUUAGCGUACAGCUCCGGUUCGACAGCAGAAAUGCGUUGAGGCCCUUGAGGGUCAAUAUUCUUGAACGAUUUGUAAGCAUGCUCGAGUUUCUUUUUCGCAUUGUAUUCCUGCAGUAUGUCGAUUAUCCCCAUAUAAAGAACCACGUCAUAGAAUUCAAAGAGUUCUACUUCUGUUGAAUCGACCUCUUCCUGCGCAGGCUUACGUUUGGCCUGGGCCGGCAUGUUUACGCCUAAUUGCACCCUUAACCUGAGAAAGAUUCAGCUGACAGUAACUAUGUGCUGCUCGAACAAUGAAUGAAACACCGAAUCCAACAACAGUUUUCGAGCAAUGAAUUUCUAUGUUUUCAGCAAUCUAAUUACCGUUGCUUGACUGUGCUACUAAGUUACUCGCAUAAGCAUAACUAUCCAAAUCAGAUGAAAGUUGAUUAGAAGGUUAGGCCGCAUAUCAUGAAUCUUUUAGGGUGUCGUUUCACUCAUACCAAGGUAACAGAAGAUCCGAAUGCUUAUGGCAUCAAACUUCAAAAUAUAUCAGAGCGCAAAAGUGCGAAUAGUAAGUAUAAAAGUACAAACAAUAGAAGUACCUUCCUGUACCAGGGAGUAAGAGAUCGACUUCUUUGUCACCGAGAGAAUAAGCUUUCAACGGACUUCCUCUGAUGUGAGGACCUGGUGCAGUACUGACAGAGCCAGGUUCAUGGGUUACCAGUAGAAGACCUUUAGGAGGAAUCACAAGCUCCCCUUGCAAAGUCACACCUAUUCAAAUUGGAAUAUAAGUUCAAAUAUGAAAUACGUAAAUGCGAGGAGAUAAGGGAAUUCAGUUGGUAUUAAAAGCUUGGCUGGAGGGAAUUCCAUUCAAUGUCAUUUUCAUUAUGUUUCUUUCCCAUUUCUUCAUUCUUCCAAGUGCGUGCCAUUUCGAAAUUAUGAAAAUCAAGAUUCUAAAAUGCGAUAGGCGCUAGUUGGCCGCCUAGAUGUCAAUAACAUGGUAAGGAUAAAUGUUCCACCCCCUUAGUGGCGUGAGGAUGUUCCAAAUCCCAAAAUGUCGACCAAUACUAAAGUCUGUUUGCCCAAAUUUUAAAUUGUAAUAAGAACUAGGCCAGUUGCCGAGUUGUCAUUAAUUGCUCAGAUUUUCUUUUCCUACAGUCCUUUUUCUGCAUUUAUUCUGAGUGUAUGACUUUACUGUUUCCAGGGAAAGAAAUCAUUAAUUGGAAAACUAUUUGCAUCACCAAAUAGAAAAGAAAUCAGAACAUACGUAAAACAAAUACAAGUUCAUUUGAAAAGUAUUUGUAAUCAGAAAGAGAUGCUUACCAUCAUCAGCAGGUAAACUCUCAUGGUUGUGCAUUGUAGGAGGAGGUUGUGAAAAUCCCUUCAGAUCCUCGGGAGCUCUAAAAUGUAGACCCAACAGAAGGCUAUAAUCGAUAAUUUGCUGAGAUUGUAGAAACAUGCAGUCUAGUGAUAUUUGUCUGCAAAACAAAGAGGAGGAAAGAUUCCAAGAGAUUAUAAAAUGUAGAAGAGCUUACUCAGCCAAUUCUUAUUAACAUUCUCAUUUGGGGGACACAUGCAUAAUCGAUAAGCAGCAAAUCUAUGAAAUGUGAACACACAAUGUAUUAUUGAGUGUAGAUCUACAUAUAGCGUUAAGACUUCGUAAGAAUAUCAAGCUUGUUACCGGAAGAACAAAAUAUAGUACUGAAAAGUAGUGUUAUAAAUGAAAACAACAACAUAAAUUGCAGAAACGUAAGAGAAUUUUUAUAUCAAAUCCAUUUUGAUCGGAAUUCUAAAAUUGACUUAAAGCUUAUUGAACUGACUAAUAGCAUUUGGAACAUGUUUUACGUUUCCUGUCUUAACAUUGAAAGUAAAUAAACUAAUCAACCACAGGAGAUUUGAAGCAUUUUAACUUACAAAUCAACAAGGCAAAGAAUUGAUUUCCAGGGACUACACAAUUUCCAUGUACCAAGAUGCAUGAUACAAAUUUACCGGUGAGGUUGAAAUAUCCCUCCAACCGGCUUGGCUCUUCCUCAAGGCAAGCUUUACAGGUCAAAAUCCAAAGAUAGGAUGCAGAGGACUGGAAGAAGAAACUAAUGCAGGACAUAUAUCUAAGGGUUAGAUUCUAUUGCAAGUGGUUUUGGAGAAUUAGACCUCGGACCGAGUAUGUUAUAUUGCAUAAGUUUAUUAAUCUUAUGAUCAAUGAAGUUAUUCCAGAGAGAUUGUAACCGAAAAAAAAGUUAUUCCAGAAGGAUGCUUAAGCAAUGAAAAUCACUCACAGGUAAUCACUAAUACCUUUUCUAAAACGUAAUAAAUGAAAUUAAAAAAACCGCAACAAAUAAAAACUCACAAGGACUUACUUAAAAAGUCCUCCUCGCAACAGUUUGUCCAUAUGAAAUUCAAAUUUCAGAUCGAGAUCUUUCAAUGUGGUAUUCCCAUCAAUUUUAUCUUUGUCCGUACAUCUUCCAAUAGUUGAACCCUUCAAAUCAUAACGGCGAUGAAUUCGUAAUUCAGUGCAAAACAUAUUCCCCAUGACCAUAAACCGUACCUAAAAACAAUGCAUUUAGAAUAAGUCACACCAACCGAGGCGACAUCCAAUGAAGAACUGCAAUCUGGUAGAGUGAUAAGUUGCUCAAUACCUUUUUUCCACCCUUUAACGUUAUCCGAUGGAGCCCAAAAAUUUUUGUGAUGAGAGUGUUUUCAUGUUCGUCUACAUGGCUAUAAUAUCUAGGCAGCAUCUUCAGCAUAACCUGCAUAUGAAUUGGGAAAAAGAAAAUGAUUCAUAAUUCCUUUCAACAUCCUUCCCAAACUUGGAUGAGAUAAGUUAGUUGCCGAAGAUAAAGCUAAAAAUAAAAUUGAGAAAAGCAAAAUCUAAGUCCUCAUAUGGAGCUGAUUGAUCAUUCUGUUCGAGUACGAAGCAAAAGGAAUAUAAAGGGUAAUUAAACGGCUUGGCACGACAGGAAUUUUGAGUACAAAGAAGUUAUCGUGCGUGUGUAUGUAGCGUAGAAGUUUGCGUGAGUUCAAACCUUCAGUUCAGUUUUUCUUAAAGUCUUGAUGAAAAAUCUAUCAUCAUGAGAAAUAUAGAAAAUACUGCCACUUUUCCCCGGAGAAGAAAUCUCUCGUAAACCAUUGUCACCACAAAUGGACAUCAUGUACUCUGCUGCAUCUAAUUUAAACAUCUCCCUUAAAUUCCUGAAAUGCGAAAGUUUCAUCAGGCAGAAAGAGAUCCAAUUGCUUAUUUGCACAGAUACAGCGGAAACAUAAACUUGCAACGAUACAUUGUCCAUAUUGUUAAGACAUGUAUGACUCCAAUUAAACUUGAACUUAUUUGAAUACGACUCCAAUUAAAC
This 14834-nucleotide long non-coding RNA is filed under the name Malus domestica (apple). RNAcentral describes it as "long non-coding RNA (MDOM_LNC007792)". Lineage: Eukaryota; Viridiplantae; Streptophyta; Magnoliopsida; Rosales; Rosaceae. The record is from RNAcentral.